Molecule: transfer RNA, 72 nt
Filed under: Cladophialophora carrionii CBS 160.54
Lineage: Eukaryota; Fungi; Ascomycota; Eurotiomycetes; Chaetothyriales; Herpotrichiellaceae
Description: tRNA-Sup (TCA) (tRNA-Sup-TCA-1-1)
Rfam family: tRNA
About the family: Transfer RNA (tRNA) molecules are approximately 80 nucleotides in length. Their secondary structure includes four short double-helical elements and three loops (D, anti-codon, and T loops).
Source: RNAcentral
GCGCAAUUGGUCUAGUGGUAUGAUUCUCGCUGUCAGUGCGAGAGGCCCCAGGUUCGAACCCUGGAUUGCGCC